Molecule: ribosomal RNA, 408 nt
Filed under: uncultured Phoma
Lineage: Eukaryota; Fungi; Ascomycota
Description: eukaryotic LSU rRNA
Rfam family: 5.8S ribosomal RNA (bases 105-258)
Source: RNAcentral
UGUCUUUUGAGUACCUUCGUUUCCUCGGCGGGUCCGCCCGCCGAUUGGACAACAUUUAAACCCUUUGUAGUUGCAAUCAGCGUCUGAAAAAACUUAAUAGUUACAACUUUCAACAACGGAUCUCUUGGUUCUGGCAUCGAUGAAGAACGCAGCGAAAUGCGAUAAGUAGUGUGAAUUGCAGAAUUCAGUGAAUCAUCGAAUCUUUGAACGCACAUUGCGCCCCUUGGUAUUCCAUGGGGCAUGCCUGUUCGAGCGUCAUUUGUACCUUCAAGCUCUGCUUGGUGUUGGGUGUUUGUCUCGCCUCUGCGUGUAGACUCGCCUUAAAACAAUUGGCAGCCGGCGUAUUGAUUUCGGAGCGCAGUACAUCUCGCGCUUUGCACUCAUAACGACGACGUCCAAAAGUACAUU